This 254-nucleotide ribosomal RNA is filed under the name uncultured bacterium. RNAcentral describes it as "partial 16S ribosomal RNA". It matches the Rfam family "Bacterial small subunit ribosomal RNA", at positions 524 to 776 of the family's 1533-position model. The record is from RNAcentral.
UACGUAGGGGGCAAGCGUUAUCCGGAUUUACUGGGUGUAAAGGGAGCGUAGGUGGCAUGGUAAGCCAGAAGUGAAAACCCGGGGCUCAACCCCGCGGAUUGCUUUUGGAACUAUCAGGCUGGAGUGCUGGAGGGGUAAGCGGAAUUCCUAGUGUAGCGGUGAAGUGCGUAGAUAUUAGGAGGAACACCGGUGGCGAAGGCGGCUUACUGGACAGAAACUGACACUGAGGCUCGAAAGCGUGGGGAGCAAACAGG